UUUGAGACGUCAUGAAUCAUUGUAUAGUACUAUAUUUAAUCAGAGGCACCAAAGACAGGAACAUGUAGAAGAAAAAGAAGGGAAAACAUCAUGUGAUCAUGUCCCUAUGUCUGAUUCUGAAGUAGCAGAAUUGACAUGGGAAAAUGGACAGUUAGCUAAACAUGACCUCGGUAAAAUGGUUUCUGCGCCUGUUUAAGUUAGGACCGGUGAAAUGUUAGAAUGAAUAGUCCAUCAAGGCACAUGGGAAAGGUUAAUCAAAUUGACGCAAACUUUAGCUUAUUAGCUGCACCAUGGGCUGGAAACUGGCGGAGAGUUCAUCAGGCGACAUGCAGAUGAAACGAGAGGAGGCAAGUUUAAGUUCGAUGGCUGCGGCUUCUGGUGGAAAAUUGAGCAAAAGCUCGAGCCAUAUAGAUACAUCUUCGAGUUGCCAUGUGCGUCCAGCAGAUUUAGCAAAGAAAAGGAAGAGAUCAAAAUCUGAACUAAAUUGUAGAAGAUAUUUUGAGGAAGAUCAAGAGGAAGAAGCCAGUGGAUGUGCUAGUCCAGUGCAACAUUUUGUAGAGAUACUGAUACUACUAUGAUGACAUGGGCUUCUUUUGAACCUUUUCAAAGCUUCAAGAGUACGAGAAAUGGAGAUGAAGAUUUGGGUUUUCACACUUGCUCGGUUAGAAAUUUUUUUCAAUUUUGUAGGAGGAACAUAUACUAAACUUCGAGCAUGUUUUCGUUACUCAGUGCUGCUCAAGACCAUACAUCAUGAUUGAUAAAAUUUUAGCUUCAUUUUCUUAGAGUCUAGUCCUGUCCAAUCCUACUAAUUUUCUCUGCUGAAUCUUAACUUCAGACAAACGAACUCCACUUUCAUCAGUAGGCAUAGAAAUAGACAAUGGGAAUCUCUGGUCUCUUAGAUUUUACUCGCAAGACCUCGAAUCUAGUGAGCUAUCAUCUUCUAAUCUUUUUACAAUUGCAAGUCUUUGAGCUCUGAUGCACUUGUAAGUCUAGACAAAGAAUUUUCAUGUAUUUCUAACAAGAUAAAAGAUAUUAAUCAAAUUACUGGAAAAAGAAACUGUAAGGAGCUCCUUGUACUUCCUUUCGAGUUACUCUCUCAACCUGCUUUAAUUGUUGUAAAUUAUGUUAGGAAAAACAGGAUGAAGAACGUGGGAACAACUGGGAUGCCACUAUUCGAUCUCAAUCAUCAGGAAGCCAUAGUUGGGCUGCAGCCAUACAUAAUCAGUCAUAAAGGAGGUGUAGAGAGAGGAUCAAUCAGAAGAUGAAGGCUUUUCAAAAAUUGGUGCCCAUUGCAAGUAAGGAGAGGUAACUUACUAAUUUCACGUGUCAGACUUUUGAUAAAAGAACAAAUUUGUAACGACCAGGAUUUUUCCCUACAAGCCUUUCGCCCAGGGUGAUGCGAAAUAAAUUCACAUUGGGAUCCAACCCCCAGUGGACGGCACAAAUGAGUAAUGUCUGCACGUGAAUAGCCCCUAAGCCAAACGAAUGAAAGGGCAAGAUGAUGAAAUUCCAUGGUAGUUACAAGAAUGUGGAUGUUGAUUAAUGAAUUCGGUUGUGCUAAAUAUAUAUAAUGGUUUACACGCGUAUGAUGUAGUGUGAUAUAAUUGGGUCAGAAUUUC
This is a long non-coding RNA of Olea europaea var. sylvestris, 1619 nucleotides long. RefSeq lists it as uncharacterized. The record is from RefSeq and is a predicted model, not a curated record. The transcript has 3 exons. NCBI's taxonomy places the organism in Eukaryota, Viridiplantae, Streptophyta, Magnoliopsida, Lamiales, Oleaceae.